GCCGGCGUAGCUCAAUGGUAGAGCAGCUGACUUGUAAUCAGCAGGUUGCGGGUUCGAGUCCCAUCGCCGGCUCCA
RNAcentral lists this transfer RNA (75 nucleotides) under Bacillota bacterium. RNAcentral's name for it is "tRNA-Thr". It matches the Rfam family "tRNA". From Rfam's summary of the family: Transfer RNA (tRNA) molecules are approximately 80 nucleotides in length. Their secondary structure includes four short double-helical elements and three loops (D, anti-codon, and T loops). The record is from RNAcentral. Lineage: Bacteria; Bacillati; Bacillota. RNAcentral also lists the same sequence under 1 other name.